This 254-nucleotide ribosomal RNA is filed under the name uncultured bacterium. RNAcentral describes it as "partial 16S ribosomal RNA". It matches the Rfam family "Bacterial small subunit ribosomal RNA", at positions 524 to 776 of the family's 1533-position model. The record is from RNAcentral.
UACGGAGGGGGCUAGCGUUGUUCGGAAUUACUGGGCGUAAAGCGCGCGUAGGCGGUGUGUCACGUCGGCCGUGAAAACCUGCAGCUUAACUGUGGGCGUGCGGUCGAUACGGGCAUCACUGGAGUUCGGCAGGGGAGACUGGAAUUCCUGGUGUAGCGGUGAAAUGCGCAGAUAUCAGGAGGAACACCGGUGGCGAAGGCGGGUCUCUGGGCCGAUACUGACGCUGAGGAGCGAAAGCGUGGGGAGCAAACAGG